UGGACGCCGACGGUAGGGAUUUACAAGUUUGGAAGGAAAGUGGAUGAAAUCGAACAGUGUAAAAUCAGGCAGCUGAAAGACCGGGUGUGGUUAUGGAGCGAUUUGAAAGAGACUCGA
Molecule: non-coding RNA, 117 nt
Filed under: Bathycoccus prasinos
Lineage: Eukaryota; Viridiplantae; Chlorophyta; Mamiellophyceae; Mamiellales; Bathycoccaceae
Source: RNAcentral